Molecule: ribosomal RNA, 391 nt
Filed under: Dictyocoela roeselum
Lineage: Eukaryota; Fungi; Microsporidia
Description: SSU rRNA
Rfam family: Microsporidia small subunit ribosomal RNA
Source: RNAcentral
UGUGUAAGCGAAGCGAUAUGUGGAGCGGUGAAAGGCUCAGUAACGGGCGAUUUAUUUGAUCUCCUGGGACGGACAACAUCGGGAAACUGAUGGGAAAACGUCUAAGUUGCAGUAUAUUUAUUGUGACGUAAACCUUUGUGUGCAGGAGAGUAAGAUGCCAUCCUAUCAGUUAGUAAGUAGGGUAAGGGCCUACUUAGACGAAGACGGGUACGGGGAAUGAGGGUUUGAUUCCGGAGAGGGAGCCUGAGAGAUGGCUACCAGGACCAAGGUCAGCAGCAGGCGCGAAAAUUAUCGAAGCCCGCCUAGGGGCGAUAGUGAGGAGACGUGUAUACGAAGUACGUGUAAAGACCGUACUAAUAACUGGAGGUCAAGUCUGGUGCCAGCAGCCGCG